This is a long non-coding RNA of Cygnus olor (mute swan), 1387 nucleotides long. RefSeq lists it as uncharacterized. The transcript is spliced from 3 exons. The record is from RefSeq and is a predicted model, not a curated record. Lineage: Eukaryota; Metazoa; Chordata; Aves; Anseriformes; Anatidae.
CCUGGUCAGCCAGAUGCAUUUUUGUGGGCUAUUUGCUGAGCCUCGAAAGCACUGCCUCGGUACCUCAGCUGCCUCAUGCUGCCCCAAAACCUGCAGCACCUCUGAGCGCCUCCAGUGUAAGCUGUGCCCCGUGGCUGUCGGUCAUCACAAUGCUCUCAUCACCUACACCAAUGGAAACAACACCCCACAUACAGAUUUCCAUGUCAGGGGUUAUAUUUGAGAGUGUUUUGGAAGCAAGCAAGCCACCAAAACGUACAACCAGAAACCUAACUGCUGUUCAGCAUACUGGUUAUAUAAGAAGCAAAGAAAAAGAGAAAAGAAGCCCUAAACUGCUCUUUUUACUCUGCGCAGCGUGAUUUGGAUGGAGGCAGAUCCCACGCAGUGCAAGAUGAGCUGCGGGCCAUCACAGCAAGUCUGGCAGCUCGUUCCCAUAUUUUGUUCCAUUUUGCCAUGUGCAAAACACACAAGGGAUUGUCUGGAGGACAGUGGGGGCCUUUAUGCCCCCAAACACGUUAUUGCUGCUGCAGCUCAGCUAUUUUUUCCCCCCUCUCUGAUGUGCCUCCAGCCUGUGUGGCUGUUCCCAGGGAGCCGCAGGGCUGAGACCUCGCAUGGCCUCCGGUGAUGUCACAGGAGUCACCAGGGACCCCAAAUUUCUGUUUUGGGUGACUACGGGGUGUAUCUGUGAGCCAGGUGCCACGGGCAGGACAGGGGAGGAUGGGGGAGGACAGGCUAUUGCCCAGCGAGGUACAACCCAGCCCUGAAUUCUUGGAAAAGAGAUUACAGCUUGCAGGGCUCCUCUUCCAGAUUUUUUUUUUGCAGGUGUUUUAGCACUGCACUGAAGAACGGGACUUCUUAGGGAAGGAGAGCCCAGCCUGGAGCCCCCGUGUGAGAGGUGACAGCAGAGGAUGCCGCUGCUUUCACCCCAGGAAGGGCCCUGCCGAGGUACUGGGCCAGCCCCCCUGAAUGGGGCAGCCGGGAUUUCCCAUGGGUUUAAGGCUAAAUUAAGCUGUCUUCAAUGCCACGCUUUGUACUUUUAGGGUGACACAUGGCAAAAGGCUUGAGAGAUAGCACCUGCCCCUGAGCACCGGCAAAAGUUCUGUUUAGCGUGGCUCAAGUCUUUGCGGCCAGCUAUUAUGAGCCCCAAUUAUUUCCGAUGCCUCCCCACAUGCCAAGAGGAGGGCAUUGGCCAUGGUGCUGCCCCAAGAACCGGCAACAGGCAAAAAUAUUUGGCACAGGGAGGUCGUCUGGUGGAAGCCCCUGCCCAGACCUCGCCGUGCAGGAGGCUGCCGCAGUCUGGCAGAGCGGUCACUUGCAUGGGACUGUUCAGAAGAGGCCCAGAUUUGGACGGGGGACAAAGAGACGACUUUAGAAAGAUAGCCAUAGUUGG